AUUGAACGCUGGCGGCAGGCCUAACACAUGCAAGUCGAGCGAGCGGCGGACGGGUGAGUGAUGUCUGGGAAACCGCCUGUUGGAGGGGGAUAACUACUGUAAACGGUAUCUAAUACCGCAUACAAUCACAUGUGCCCAGAUGGGAUUAGCUCGUAGGUGGGGUAACGGCUCACCUAGGCGACGAUCCCUAGCUGGGCUGAGAGGAUGACCAGCCACACUGGAACUGAGACACGGUCCAGACUCCUACGGGAGGCAGCAGUGGGGAAUAUUGCACAAUGGGCGCAAGCCUGAUGCAGCCAUGCCGCGUGUGUGAAGAAGGCCUUCGGGUUGUAAAGCACUUUCAGCGGGGAGGCGUUACCCGCAGAAGAAGCACCGGCUAACUCCGUGCCAGCAGCCGCGGUAAUUC
RNAcentral lists this ribosomal RNA (406 nucleotides) under uncultured bacterium. Its description in RNAcentral is "partial 16S ribosomal RNA". It matches the Rfam family "Bacterial small subunit ribosomal RNA", at positions 30 to 526 of the family's 1533-position model. The record is from RNAcentral.